Molecule: RNA transcript, 5129 nt
Organism: Hipposideros armiger (great roundleaf bat)
Lineage: Eukaryota; Metazoa; Chordata; Mammalia; Chiroptera; Hipposideridae
Gene: RGL1
Gene name: ral guanine nucleotide dissociation stimulator like 1
Exons: 19
Source: RefSeq, a predicted model, not a curated record
GGUCGUCCGAGUACCUCACGUGAUCCCUAAGGGGUUUCUAUAGAAACGCUUCUCUGCGGUCCAGUCUGGGAGGUCUUAGGUUGGCGGCGAUGGGCACUGGGGGCGGGUGGCCUUGGCUUUUGCUGCUGCCGCCGCCGCCGCCAACGACCCGUCAUCCGGGUCCUGCGUAGGGUCCGGCCGGCCCGGACUUGCCUAUGAGGUGGGAUGGACUGGUUGUCAGACCAAGUCCCCUGCAGCUGACAGGAGUAGGGAGGAGUGAUGCACGCCCCGGCGCCCAGCAUCGUUCUAGUUCUCAGAGACGUCGCUUCGGACCGUGCGCUGCUCGUGGCUGCGUGCCUGAGCCGGGAGCCCCUUUCCCGGGGUUGGAGCUACGCUGCGCGGCCGGCGGGAGGUCCCCAAGGACAGAGUCGAAAGGUCAUAUCUUCUCUGUCAGUGCUGUGUGACAGCACCGCGAAGGCACCUGCAGAACCUGAACUAGAUCCGUAAUGCCUCCUGUCUGGCUCUUUCAAGAUGGAGGGAGAGCCUACUCAAGUGCUAUCUAAAUUCAAACUUCCCACCAAGGUGGAAAGCGCAGGACCCUGGCUGGUGGAAGAUCAUGCUCGAAUAUGGGAAGUUUUAAAGACAGAGGAGAGCUCGAUUCAGGACUGGGGUGAAGAGGUAGAGGAAGGAGCUGUUUACCAUGUCACCCUGAAAAGAGUCCAGAUUCAACAGGCUGCCAAUAAAGGAGCAAGAUGGCUAGGGGUGGAAGGGGACCAGCUGCCUCCAGGACAUACAGUCAGUCAGUAUGAGACCUGUAAGAUCAGGACCAUAAAAGCUGGUACCUUGGAGAAGCUGGUGGAGAAUCUGCUGACAGCUUUUGGGGACAAUGACUUCACCUACAUCAGCAUCUUCCUGUCAACGUACAGAGGCUUUGCCUCCACUAAAGAAGUGCUGGAACUGCUGCUGGACAGGUAUGGAAACCUGACGAGCCCAAACUGUGAAGAAGAUGGAAGCCAGAGCUCCUCGGAGUCCAAGACUGUGAUCAGGAACGCAAUCGCCUCCAUCCUGAGGGCCUGGCUUGACCAAUGCGCAGAAGACUUCCGAGAGCCCCCUCACUUCCCUUGCUUACAGAAACUGCUGGAUUAUCUCAAACAGAUGAUGCCAGGCUCUGACCCGGAGAGAAGAGCACAAAAUCUGCUGGAGCAGUUUCACAAGCAAGAAGUCGAAACUGACAAUGGGUUUCCCAGCACCAGCUCCGUCAGCCUGGAAGAGGAAGAGGAACUGGAAGGUGGAGUGUCCGCAGAGUUCACGUGCUUCUCAGAAGACCUCGUGGCAGAGCAGCUGACCUAUAUGGAUGCACAACUGUUCAAGAAAGUGGUGCCCCACCACUGCCUGGGCUGCAUUUGGUCUCAGAGGGAUAAGAAGGAAAACAAACAUUUGGCUCCUACUAUCCGCGCUACCAUCUCUCAAUUUAAUACCCUCACCAAAUGCGUUGUCAGCACCAUUCUGGGAGGCAAAGAACUCAAAACUCAGCAGAGAGCCAGAAUCAUCGAGAAGUGGAUUAACAUCGCUCACGAAUGUAGAAUCCUGAAGAAUUUUUCCUCCUUGAGGGCCAUCGUGUCGGCGCUGCAGUCCAAUUCCAUCUAUCGCUUAAAGAAGACUUGGGCUGCGGUCCCCAAGGACCGAAUGCUGAUGUUUGAAGAACUCUCAGAUAUCUUCUCGGACCAUAAUAACCAUCUGACCAGCCGGGAACUCCUGAUGAAGGAAGGAACCUCAAAAUUUGCAAACCUGGACAGCAGUGUGAAAGAAAACCAGAAGCGGACUCAGCGGCGGCUCCAGCUCCAGAAGGAUAUGGGUGUGAUGCAGGGCACUGUGCCCUACCUGGGCACCUUCCUGACUGACCUGACCAUGCUCGACACUGCUCUCCAGGACUACAUUGAGGGUGGGCUGAUUAAUUUUGAGAAGAGGAGGAGGGAAUUUGAAGUGAUUGCCCAAAUAAAGCUCUUACAAUCUGCCUGCAACAGCUAUUGUAUGACCCCAGACCAAAAGUUCAUCCAGUGGUUCCAGAGGCAGCAGCUUUUAACAGAGGAGGAGAGCUACGCCCUCUCCUGUGAGAUUGAAGCUGCCCCCGAUGCCAGCGCCACCUCGCCCAAGCCUCGGAAGAGCAUGGUGAAGAGGCUCAGCCUACUGUUUCUGGGGUCGGACAUUAUCGCCAGUAGCACUCCCGCCAAGGAGCAGCCCAAGUCCACGGCCAGUGGGAGCUCUGGCGAAAGCAUGGACUCCGUCAGCGUGUCAUCGUGCGAGUCAAACCACUCAGAGGCUGAGGAGGGCUCUAUCACUCCCAUGGACACACCUGAUGAGCCUCAAAAAAAAGCUCUCCUAGUCCUCCUCCUCGUGCUCCUCUAUCCACUCCAUGGACACAAAUUCCUCAGGGAUGUCGUCCUUAAUCAACCCUCUCUCCUCCCCUCCAUCCUGCAACAACAACCCUAAAAUCCACAAGCGCUCCGCCUCGGUGACGUCCAUUACCUCGACAGUGCUGCCUCCCGUUUACAACCAACAGAACGAGGACACCUGCAUCAUCCGCAUCAGCGUGGAGGACAACAACGGCAACAUGUACAAGAGCAUCAUGUUGACGAGUCAGGACAAAACCCCCGCCGUGAUCCAGAGGGCGAUGCUGAAGCACAACCUGGACUCGGACCCAGCCGAGGAGUACGAGCUGGUGCAGGUCAUCUCGGAGGACAAAGAACUCGUGAUCCCAGACUCGGCAAAUGUCUUUUAUGCCAUGAACAGCCAAGUGAACUUUGACUUCAUUUUACGCAAAAAGAACGCCAUGGAAGAACAAGUGAAACUGCGUAGCCGGACCAGCCUGACCUUGCCCAGGACAGCUAAACGGGGCUGUUGGAGCAACAGACACAGCAAAAUCACCCUCUGAAGGGAGGGACCCAUGGCCCCUUGCUUGCCAAAGGCGCAGUGGGGCUGAGAACAGGCCGUGCUGAUUGCAACUACCAUCCAGUAUUAGAUGACCGUCGGUGAAGCCCACAGGUAUUUACUGCGUACCUCUGGGGUGCGAGGUCCUGUGAUGUGCAUUGUGGGGAAAUUGGAGAGGAAUUUGGCACGACAAGGAUGAACGGUUCACUGACUCCCUUUGACCUACUUGAGACUGAAAUGCGAAAUUAUCCACAUUUAUAAAUAUAUAUAUUACACAUAUUUGGUAUGUAUGUGUGUGUGUAUAUAUAUAUAUGUGUAAGUAUAUGAGGGACUUCUAAGAUUUUCUGGACUAUGGAAAAAACAAAUUUGCACAAUGGCCCGGGAAGUUGAGGUCACUUUCUACAGGGAAAUAGAAGGAACUGAGAACCUAGUCUCACACCUUCCGUUGCAAAUGGAUUCAGUCCUAGGAAUCCGGCGUGUCCUUUGUUCCAGUAUUAGGAGAAGUCCAAACUAUUCUUAUACAGGGAGAGGAUGACUUUCUCAAUGAAACGCCACCGGAAGAAAAUGACUGCAGAGGCUGGAACUGCCACGGGCUAAAUGAAAGGCCACUUUGGAAAGGGUUUGGAUGAGCCAGUGGCUUUGGACCUAUGCCUUCACCCAGCACUUUCUGCUAUCCCAGGAGGGCGGGGGUGGGGGGUGGGGCUUGGAGGCCCAGCCCACCCACUGGUCCAGCGAUCAUGACAUUCUGGACAUGACACAAGCCCAUUUUGAUUUCUGGCAAUGGCACUGUGUAUGUUUCCCCCACUAAAGAGCAUAUCACAAUCAGGAUGGCACCAAUAGCCAUGCUGUUCGGUAACUUUUCAGCCAGAAAAGGAAUCGCAAAAGGAUGGUGACUCACGGGGACUCCGUCUCAGGAGGCCCCACUUCAUGGCCUUCUUCGAUUGCCUUUGCAUGUAAAACGCUGUCUGGAGCCUUGUGCCAUCUGGAUUGGAGUACCUCUAUGUUAUGUGCAAUUUGUUCCUCAGGUGUAGAAAUUUCUACUGCGAUCGCCCCUUAUGUGAUCAUUUUGAGCCUGUGAAAGAUUUCUACGCAGUGAUUUCUGUUCCUAGCCCCUCGGGAGGUGUUCCCUGCUGACAGCAACAUCCGGUUGUACUCGUAACUUUUAUAGCAUCACUGUGCCUCGUCAUGGGGGACCGAGUGGGGCUGCGUGUAUGACCUAAAUCAUUCCUGAAGAGGGACAUUCUUCCAGAUGGAGUCACUAACAGUUUUUUUUUUUUCAGGUCCCCACACUUGCUAUCACAGUGUCACUGUUAAGUGGCAUUUUUGUCUUCAGUAACACCAUCAGCCUCUCCCUUCCAAAUCUGAGCUGUGCUGGGGUUUGAACUAAAAAGCCAUAUGGGGGAUGUUGACAUGUGUAAGAAGCACUUUCAGAAUGUCAUCCUUUUUAAGAAAAAAAUUCUCAAAAUACCAGUUUUUCUUCCAAAAAUAAAGAGAAUGAAGCCAAGAUUUGAAGUGUAGAUUGUAACAAGGAGCUUUUUUUUUUCAUAAUCCUGUAAGACAGCUCCCAAAGGUUAUGUGCGAUUUAUGUUGUGUAAAUAGUCAUGUGACAUCUGUAAGAAACACCAGAGACAGCUUAGAGAUUUGUGUCCAUGACCAAAGACUGAGCCAGGAAGGCCUCCCGUUUCUCAUAGGCCUUUCUAGCUCAGUCCGUGCAUCGUAAAGACUGACUGGGCUCCAGCUAGUCGAAAAGCACUUUCUUCUGUUUGCGAGGCUCGUCCCGUUUGUGCUUCUGUGCUUGGAGGAGACAUGGCCGGGGUGCUAGCACAUCACGGAGAUGGAAGUCAGUGCGCCCUCAGCCUGAAUUUCUUGGUUUGAAGGUCAAAAAGGAGCCUGGUUUAGAGUGUCGCUACCAAGAUACACACGUGCCCGUGCGCUCGCCCUGUGUAUUUAUACUGUACAUGUAGAGUCUAGAUUUAUAUACUGCAAUGUAAAAAAAUAUAUUUUCCUUUUUUAAAGACAAUGGAAAUUCCAAGUAGAUAAAACAUAGCCUCAUUUAUUUAAUGCCACUUUAAAUGUCUUAAAUGUGUUUCCUGGUGGACUGCCAGGCAGUGCUUUUAGCUGCUCGCAUGCUUGUCUUUCUGCAUCUCCAUCAUCUGUUGACCUUUUGGUUAAGCUAAUAAACUGGUUUGGGACUUGGUUGGCAUGUGCUGCCAGACCCAGAG